UGGGCCCCAGGGCACACAGAAAUUAGUUUAAAAUUAUUCUGGGUGUGUCUGUGAGGGCAUUUCUGGGUGAGAUUAACAUUUGAAUUCAUAGACUGAGUAAAGCAGAUUCCCUCUUCAAUGUGGGUGGGCCUCAUCCAGAUGUUGAAGACCUGAAUAAAAUAGAAAGGUUGAGCAAGAACCAGAAUUUAUAAGGUUGGUUUUCUUGGUUCGUAAGCUUCAUACGUGGACUGGAACAUACAACUGGCUUUCCUGGGUCUCUAUUUUGUCCCUUCUUCGGGGACCUCCAUUACAUGUACACUGGAUUUUUUCAGUGUUCGCUAGGUCUUGUGCAUAUGACGUUUCUGUAUUUUCUAUUGCUUUAUCUCUCCAUUUUUUUUUUUAUUCUGGACAUUUUCUUUGACUUAUUUUCAAGUCUACUAACUCUUUCCUUAUCUACAUCUAGUCUUCUGUUAAAUUUCACGAAUUGAAUUCUAAAUGUUUGUAUUGUCUUUUCAGUUCUAGAAUUUCAAAUAAGUUGUUUCAGAUAAUUUCCAGUUCCCUGAUGCAAUAAUCUUACAUCUUAUUUCCUUGCACACACUUAUCAUAGUUGAAGCCUAUGUCUGAUGACUCCGUUCUCUGCGGUCCUUGUAUGUCUUUUUUACUGUCUAUUAUUUUUCUUUGGUUAUUUCUUUUUUAAAAGAAAUACUUAUUUUUAGAUGUAGUUGGACACAACAUCUUUAUUUUGUUUAUUUUUAUGUGGUGCUGAGGAUCGAACCUAGGGCCUCACACUUGCUAGGCGAGCGCUCUACCACUGAACCACAUCCCCAGCCCUUUUUGGUUAUUUCUAUGUGAGAUCCAAACAUGGUAUUUGAAAAAUUACAAAGAUAAUUUUAGGCUUAGAAUAUAAUCUUCCUCUGGAGGUGAAUUUUUAUUUACUUCUGGAAGGAGGCAGAUUAUCUUAACACAAUCAAAAGUCCUUUCUUAUUAUGGUUAGGCCAUUUAUGGAUUAUCAUUACUCCUUGGGUGUAGAACUUGGAGAUCUUGUCCUGAAGCCCGAUAAGGAGGUCACUAAGGCCCUUCCUUAGCAGGCUCCAAGCACCCUUAUUUGUUAUCCCAACCUAUAAUCCUGUAGAAAGUUCUCCACAGCUUUUCAGUCUCCCAAAUUUAUAUCAACUUUUGCAAAUUAGAUUAUAUCCCUGGGGGAAAGGCAGCCCCCCCACCAAUGCUGAACUCGUUUCUCUUGUUUUCUAUCUCCCACAUCUUGGCCCUGCAGUGAAAAUAUUCAUUUAAAGGACAGCAGCUGUUCCCUCCUUCUUGCAGAAUAUUAGUACUUCCCUAAUAGCUUCUGAAAAAUCAUUCAUCUCUGCCACUGGUGGGAUAGCCAUGCCUGCUGUGCAGGGUGGGUGAGGAUUGCAUGAGGUAACUAAAGGGAAAGUACUUAGUGAGUUUUCUAAUAAUCACGUUUCCCUCUCUCUAG
This 1456-nucleotide long non-coding RNA is filed under the name Marmota monax (woodchuck). Lineage: Eukaryota; Metazoa; Chordata; Mammalia; Rodentia; Sciuridae. The record is from RNAcentral.